RNAcentral lists this unclassified non-coding RNA (329 nucleotides) under soil metagenome. RNAcentral's name for it is "partial contains 5.8S ribosomal RNA, internal transcribed spacer 2, and large subunit ribosomal RNA". The stretch from base 1 to 120 matches the Rfam family "5.8S ribosomal RNA", at positions 35 to 154 of the family's 154-position model. The record is from RNAcentral.
GAUGAAGAACGUAGUAAAAUGCGAUAAGUAAUGUGAAUUGCAGAAUUCAGUGAAUCAUCGAAUCUUUGAACGCACAUUGCGCCCGCCAGUAUUCUGGCGGGCAUGCCUGUUCGAGCGUCAUUUCAACCCUCAAGCUCAGCUUGGUGUUGGGACUCGCGGUAACCCGCGUUCCCCAAAUCGAUUGGCGGUCACGUCGAGCUUCCAUAGCGUAGUAAUCAUACACCUCGUUACUGGUAAUCGUCGCGGCCACGCCGUAAAACCCCAACUUCUGAAUGUUGACCUCGGAUCAGGUAGGAAUACCCGCUGAACUUAAGCAUAUCAAUAGAGGA